AGUGACUAUAAGUUAAACGGCCGCGGUAUUUUGACCGUGCAAAGGUAGCGCAAUCACUUGUCUUUUAAAUGAAGACCUGUAUGAAUGGUGGAACGAGGGCUUGACUGUCUCCCUCAUCUAGUCAAUGAAAUUGAUCUACCCGUGCAGAAGCGGGUAUUAUAAUACAAGACGAGAAGACCCUUUGGAGCUUAAGACAAAAGACCAACUAUGUCAAGAGUACUAAAAAUGAAACUAAACCCAAUAACACUGGUCCCAGUCUUCGGUUGGGGUGACCGCGGGAGAAAAUUAAGCUCCCAUGUGGACUGGGGCAACCCCCCAAAACUAAGAAAGACAUCUCUAAGGCACAGAACAUCUGACCAUAAAGAUCCGGCUAUGCGCCGACCAACGGACCAAGUUACCCUAGGGAUAACAGCGCAAUCCCCUUCCAGAGUCCC
Molecule: ribosomal RNA, 434 nt
Filed under: Pareiorhaphis hystrix
Lineage: Eukaryota; Metazoa; Chordata; Actinopteri; Siluriformes; Loricariidae
Description: partial large subunit ribosomal RNA
Rfam family: Bacterial large subunit ribosomal RNA
Source: RNAcentral